GAUGAACGCUAGCGGCAGGCCUAACACAUGCAAGUCGAGGGGCAGCACAGAAAUUCAGCAAUGAGUUUUGGUGGCGACCGGCAGACGGGUGCGUAACGCGUGUGCAACCUACCCUUAACAGGGGAAUAACGGAGGGAAACUUCCACUAAUACCCCAUCACAUCCCAAGAGGACUCUCUUGGGGUUGAAAGCUACGGCGGUUAAGGAUGGGCCCGCGUUGUAUUAGAGUGUUGGUGAGGUAACGGCUCACCAAGUCUACGAUACAUAGGGGGACUGAGAGGUUAACCCCCCACACUGGUACUGAGACACGGACCAGACUCCUACGGGAGGCAGCAGUGAGGAAUAUUGGUCAAUGGGGGCAACCCUGAACCAGCCAUGCCGCGUGCAGGAAGACGGCUCUAUGAGUUGUAAACUGCUUUUAAACAGGGAUAAAGCACAGUAUGUAAACUGUGUUGAAGGUACUGUAAGAAUAAGGAUCGGCUAACUCCGUGCCAGCCGCCGCCGUAA
RNAcentral lists this ribosomal RNA (506 nucleotides) under uncultured bacterium. RNAcentral describes it as "partial 16S ribosomal RNA". It matches the Rfam family "Bacterial small subunit ribosomal RNA", at positions 28 to 523 of the family's 1533-position model. The record is from RNAcentral.